This 292-nucleotide ribosomal RNA is filed under the name uncultured bacterium. RNAcentral's name for it is "partial 16S ribosomal RNA". It matches the Rfam family "Bacterial small subunit ribosomal RNA", at positions 505 to 796 of the family's 1533-position model. The record is from RNAcentral.
GUGUCAGCAGCCGCGGUAAAACGUAGGAGGCAAGCGUUAUCCGGAAUUACUGGGCGUAAAGGGCGUCUAGGCGGCGGUACAAGCGCGAUGUGAAAGCUCCUGGCUCAACUGGGAGAGUGCGUAGCGAACUGUGCAGCUAGAGGCCAGGCGAUGGGGGUGGAAUUCCCGGUGGAGUGGUGAAAUGCGUAGAGAUCGGGAGGAACACCAGUGGCGCAAGCGGCCCCCAAGCCUGAACCUGACGCUGAAGCGCGACAGCGUGGGGAGCAAACGGGAUUAGAUACCCCCGUAGUCC